This 269-nucleotide ribosomal RNA is filed under the name uncultured prokaryote. RNAcentral's name for it is "partial 16S ribosomal RNA". It matches the Rfam family "Bacterial small subunit ribosomal RNA", at positions 524 to 792 of the family's 1533-position model. The record is from RNAcentral.
CACGUAGGUGGCGAGCGUUGUCCGGAUUUACUGGGCGUAAAGGGAGCGUAGGAGGACUUUUAAGUGAGAUGUGAAAUACCCGGGCUCAACUUGGGUGCUGCAUUUCAAACUGGAAGUCUAGAGUGCAGGAGAGGAGAAUGGAAUUCCUAGUGUAGCGGUGAAAUGCGUAGAGAUUAGGAAGAACACCAGUGGCGAAGGCGAUUCUCUGGACUGUAACUGACGCUGAGGCUCGAAAGCGUGGGGAGCAAACAGGAUUAGAUACCCUGGUA